RNAcentral lists this ribosomal RNA (454 nucleotides) under uncultured bacterium. RNAcentral's name for it is "bacterial SSU rRNA". It matches the Rfam family "Bacterial small subunit ribosomal RNA", at positions 29 to 516 of the family's 1533-position model. The record is from RNAcentral.
AACGAACGCUGGCGGCAGGCUUAACACAUGCAAGUCGAACGCCCCGCAAGGGGAGUGGCAGACGGGUGAGUAACGCGUGGGAACGUACCCUUUGGUUCGGAACAACCCUGGGAAACUAGGGCUAAUACCGGAUACGAGCGGAGGCUUAGCGGCUUUUGCUGAAAGGUUUACUGCCGAAGGAUCGGCCCGCGUCUGAUUAGCUAGUUGGUGAGGUAACGGCUCACCAAGGCGACGAUCAGUAGCUGGUCUGAGAGGAUGAUCAGCCACAUUGGGACUGAGACACGGCCCAAACUCCUACGGGAGGCAGCAGUGGGGAAUAUUGGACAAUGGGCGCAAGCCUGAUCCAGCCAUGCCGCGUGAGUGAUGACGGCCCUAGGGUUGUAAAGCUCUUUUACCUGGGAAGAUAAUGACGGUACCAGGGGAAUAAGCCCCGGCUAACUUCGUGCCAGCCGCC